GAACGCCUCUAAGUCAGAAUCCGUGCUAGAAACAAUGAUUUUGUCCCAUGCAUCUCAAAACAGUUGUGUUAAAAUAGGGCUUGAAAAAUAGCCCGUGAACCAUCAUUUGUUGGUUAAACUGAUCAAGUGGAAAGACUCGGUUAGUUUUCCAACCUACAUUAUCAAAAAUAUGUGUGGGGGUAAAUCCUUUGCAGACGACUUGAAUCAGAACAGGGUACUGUAAGUGGUAGAGUAGCCUUGUUGCUACGAUCCACUGAGGUUCAGCCCAAGUUCUAAAGAUUUGUUCAACUCCAGUUGGACCAAUCCCUAUCUUUUUUUUACUUUAGGGCUAUUUACUUUAGGGCUAGUCAUCCUGAAAAACUUUCUACUAGUCCCCCUCGCUUUUGUCUCAUCAUCUUCUGCCAUCUCAUCAAAAUCUUCCUUUUCAACUAGUCCCUUAUCAUCUUCCUUCAUCUCGUCAAAAAAAUUCUUACUUUAGGGCUAUUUACUUUAGGGCUAUUUACUUCAGGGCUAUUUACUUCAGGGCUAUUUACUUUAGGGUUAAUUACUUUAGGCCUACCACUACUCAACUUACACUUAAGUACACUUCUGCACUUCCACUGAGCCAAGGACCAUCAUUUGUGUCAAACUUUCAGCAUAAUGCUUCUUACAUCAUAACACAAGGAGAAAGUCCCCUGAAUAUUUUUCUUUCAUAAAAUUAAAAGUAAUAUGGUCAACCCUGAACUUCAAAAAAAGGUUAACACAAUGGGGCUUACUCUGGCUUGCAUCCCCCAAAAACUCCUACUCUUUCAUCUGGGGCCAUACCACAGUCAACCUACCGCAUCCCGUCUGAU
This 833-nucleotide unclassified non-coding RNA is filed under the name Puccinia kuehnii. The record is from RNAcentral. Lineage: Eukaryota; Fungi; Basidiomycota; Pucciniomycetes; Pucciniales; Pucciniaceae.